Molecule: ribosomal RNA, 394 nt
Filed under: uncultured bacterium
Lineage: Bacteria
Description: bacterial SSU rRNA
Rfam family: Bacterial small subunit ribosomal RNA
Source: RNAcentral
AUUGAACGCUGGCGGCAUGCCUUACACAUGCAAGUCGAACGGCAGCACGGGAGCAAUCCUGGUGGCGAGUGGCGAACGGGUGAGUAAUAUAUCGGAACGUGCCCAGUAGUGGGGGAUAACUGCUCGAAAGAGCAGCUAAUACCGCAUACGACCUGAGGGUGAAAGGGGGGGAGUCGCAAGACCUCUCGCUAUUGGAGCGGCCGAUAUCAGAUUAGCUAGUUGGUGGGGUAAAGGCCUACCAAGGCAACGAUCUGUAGUUGGUCUGAGAGGACGACCAGCCACACUGGGACUGAGACACGGCCCAGACUCCUACGGGAGGCAGCAGUGGGGAAUUUUGGACAAUGGGCGCAAGCCUGAUCCAGCAAUGCCGCGUGCAGGAAGAAGGCCUUCGGUU